Molecule: ribosomal RNA, 497 nt
Filed under: uncultured bacterium
Lineage: Bacteria
Description: partial 16S ribosomal RNA
Rfam family: Bacterial small subunit ribosomal RNA
Source: RNAcentral
GAUGAACGCUGGCGGCGUGCCUAAUACAUGCAAGUCGAGCGAACAGACGAGGAGCUUGCUCCUCUGACGUUAGCGGCGGACGGGUGAGUAACACGUGGAUAACCUACCUAUAAGACUGGGAUAACUUCGGGAAACCGGAGCUAAUACCGGAUAAUAUAUUGAACCGCAUGGUUCAAUAGUGAAAGACGGUUUUGCUGUCACUUAUAGAUGGAUCCGCGCCGCAUUAGCUAGUUGGUAAGGUAACGGCUUACCAAGGCGACGAUGCGUAGCCGACCUGAGAGGGUGGUUGGCCAACACUGAAACGAGAACCGGUCCCGACUCCUAAGGGAGGGCGGAGUAGGGAAUCUUUCGGAAUUGGCCGAAGGCCGGCGGAGGCACCGCGGGGUAGGGAAUAAAGUCUUCCGGUUGGUAAACCUUUUUAAUAGGGAAAAAAAAAUGUGUAAGGUAAUAAGGCAGUUCUGACGGUAACCAAAUCAGAAGGCCCGGCUAACUACGUG